This is a long non-coding RNA of Peromyscus maniculatus bairdii (prairie deer mouse), 870 nucleotides long. RefSeq lists it as uncharacterized. Lineage: Eukaryota; Metazoa; Chordata; Mammalia; Rodentia; Cricetidae. The record is from RefSeq and is a predicted model, not a curated record.
CCACGCGCUCCUGACCCAGCCUCUCAGGCACCAGGGACUUCCUCUCCCUCCUCCCCUCCCUCGCCCUCCUCCCUUUCCUCCCUCCCCUUCUCCUCACCCUUAGCUCCCCGGGGCGCAGCCCAGAUUGCCCAGGACUCGGGGGACCAUGCCAGGAGGGCUCCAAUAGCACCCUGUCAACCAGGCACUUCCAGGAGUUACCCUGGAGCGGCCUCACCUGUGUUUUCAGGUGAUUGCCAAAACCUGAUGGAGGUCAGAGCUACUCCCCGGGGGGUGUCCCCAGCCACUAGCCCCACCCUCGACCUCCCUCUGUGAACCAAGCCAAGAGAAACCGAAAUCGUGGAGAAAGUUGCUUGGCUACUGCUGCGCAAGGGUGAAGCGGGGUGAAGAGUCCCGCCCUGGAGCAGAGCUGGCCCUGGGGACCCAGCUGAUGAAGCACUCUGGGUUCAAGGUCACAGCCGGCUUGCACUCAGGUGAAAGGCCCCAGGUUUGACCAGAAGUUUCUCCAGCUCCAGCUCCGUGGCACAGCACAUAGGGGGAGCAGAAAAGGUGGAGAGGGAUGGGAAGGCCCUGAAGAGGAGCUGGGUCUGCCUGCCACACAGCACCGGCAUCACCCCAUAGCGCCCACUGUGUAUGUAAACCAGGCAGAGACAGGCCGAACUUCACCUGGGGCUUUCCACGUCCACCUCUUUUUCACCCAAAAAUGGGAACACAGAAUGUCUUGUCCACUGGAGGUGGAGGGAGGGGUAAGUUCCCAAAAAGCAUGUUGCCUUUUUUUUUUUUUUUUGUCUGAAUCACUAUAGUUUCUUCCCCAAAGGUUGUGUUUUUAAAGUCAUCUGGGGGGUUUUACAAAUAAACCACCCUCCGGCCUCA